AUGGCGACUGCGUGGGUAUGGGCCACCUGCUUCCUCUCCCCAGCACUGUUCCGGCAGCGUCUGGGCCUCUUUAAGGGCAGAGCAAGGCAGCGGAGGGUGCAGUGAGCUCUGUUCAUCUAAUCAUGUUCCCAAAUCCUGUAGUGUUCUCUCCAAUCAAGGCCAUUUUCUGCAGUCUUUGAGGAACUGAGAUGAUGAGGCCCAGGAUGGUUCAAAUCAGACUCUGAGAAGAGGGCAUCUGUAGCAGAGCGUGUGGAACCUUCAGAGGAAUGUCUCUUUCUAAAUACCUAAUUAUGAAACCAUCAACAAAAGGAAAGAACAAAUACUGAACAGGAAGAUAUUUGUGAACGAUAAAUCUGAUAAGGUGUUAAUAACCCAAAUAUCAAAAAAUCAUACAACUCAAUACCCUAAAAAAUCUGAUCCAAAAAUGGAUAGAGGACCUGAGUAAACAUUUUUGCAAAGUAGACAUACAGACAGCAGAUACAUGGAAAGAUGCUCACCAUCACUAAUCAUCAGACUAAGAAGACCAAUUCAGUAAAAUACUAGAGCAAUCUACCAACUCAACCUCUGAAUUGAGAAACUCCUUGGGGAUUUCAAAGGCGGGCCUGCAGAACAGACUAGGCCACCCCAAAAUAUGCCAGUUUCAGCAUACUCAUUAUUUGGAAUUAAAGUUACUCAAGAAACAGCUGGUGCAAGGACACUCUGAACCUCCUUUGUCCCCCUGAGAGCAGAAAAUAAAUCUCCCAUUUGAAGACACCCACCCUGUACCAGGAGGGUAGAAAAUGUCUCUACCCCCAGAGAGGGGGAAUUCAAGGCCAAAAAUGCUGUAUGAACAAACUUUGUUACGUCUUCACUAAUUUGCGUCUUCAAGCCCGAACCCCUGCUUUGUCAGUUCUCCAAAAAUGUAUUGUUUCUUUUCCUGAAACAGCCGCCUGCUUUGGUCAUUUCUUUGAGUCUCAUAUUUUUAUGGGUUCCCGUAUGUACACAAUUAAA
Long non-coding RNA from Mustela erminea (ermine), 990 nucleotides. RefSeq lists it as uncharacterized. The transcript is spliced from 4 exons. NCBI's taxonomy places the organism in Eukaryota, Metazoa, Chordata, Mammalia, Carnivora, Mustelidae. The record is from RefSeq and is a predicted model, not a curated record.